UCUUCUGCAGUAUAGUGGUCAGUAGUUAAUCCACAGCUGGCCCGGGGCCUGGGUUCGAUUCCCAGCAGGAGAG
This is a non-coding RNA of Lasiosphaeria hispida, 73 nucleotides long. The record is from the annotation of a GenBank genome assembly. NCBI's taxonomy places the organism in Eukaryota, Fungi, Ascomycota, Sordariomycetes, Sordariales, Lasiosphaeriaceae.